AUUGGGCGUAAGGGCUCGCAGGCGGUUUCUUAAGUCUGAUGUGAAAGCCCCCGGCUCAACCGGGGAGGGUCAUUGGAAACUGGGGAACUUGAGUGCAGAAGAGGAGAGUGGAAUUCCACGUGUAGCGGUGAAAUGCGUAGAGAUGUGGAGGAACACCAGUGGCGAAGGCGACUCUCUGGUCUGUAACUGACGCUGAGGAGCGAAAGCGUGGGGAGCGAACAGGAUUAGAUACCCUGGUAGUCCACGCCGUAAACGAUGAGUGCUAAGUGUUAGGGGGUUUCCGCCCCUUAGUGCUGCAGCUAACGCAUUAAGCACUCCGCCUGGGGAGUACGGUCGCAAGACUGAAACUCAAAGGAAUUGACGGGGGCCCGCACAAGCGGUGGAGCAUGUGGUUUAAUUCGAAGCAACGCGAAGAACCUUACCAGGUCUUGACAUCCUCUGACAAUCCUAGAGAUAGGACGUCCCCUUCGGGGGCAGAGUGACAGGUGGUGCAUGGUUGUCGUCAGCUCGUGUCGUGAGAUGUUGGGUUAAGUCCCGCAACGAGCGCAACCCUUGAUCUUAGUUGCCAGCAUUCAGUUGGGCACUCUAAGGUGACUGCCGGUGACAAACCGGAGGAAGGUGGGGAUGACGUCAAAUCAUCAUGCCCCUUAUGACCUGGGCUACACACGUGCUACAAUGGACAGAACAAAGGG
Molecule: ribosomal RNA, 692 nt
Filed under: Bacillus subtilis
Lineage: Bacteria; Bacillati; Bacillota; Bacilli; Caryophanales; Bacillaceae
Description: bacterial SSU rRNA
Rfam family: Bacterial small subunit ribosomal RNA
Source: RNAcentral